This 253-nucleotide ribosomal RNA is filed under the name uncultured bacterium. RNAcentral's name for it is "partial 16S ribosomal RNA". It matches the Rfam family "Bacterial small subunit ribosomal RNA", at positions 524 to 776 of the family's 1533-position model. The record is from RNAcentral.
UACGUAGGUGGCAAGCGUUGUUCGGAAUUAUUGGGCGUAAAGGGCGCGUAGGCGGUUUGUUAAGUCGGUUGUGAAAGCCCGGGGCUCAACCCCGGAGGGUCGACCGAUACUGGCGAACUAGAGUACAGAAGAGGUAGCUGGAAUUCCCGGUGUAGCGGUGAAAUGCGUAGAUAUCGAGAGGAACACCAGUGGCGAAGGCGAGUCUCUGGACAUUUCCUGACGCUGAGGCACGAAAGCCAGGGGAGCAAACGGG